UACAGGGGGGGCAAGCGUUGUUCGGAAUUACUGGGCGUAAAGGGCCAGUAGGCGGCCGACUAAGUCCGACGUGAAAUCCCCAGGCUUAACCUGGGAACUGCGUCGGAUACUGGUUGGCUUGAAUUCGGGAGAGGGAUGCAGAAUUCCAGGUGUAGCGGUGAAAUGCGUAGAUAUCUGGAGGAAUACCGGUGGCGAAGGCGGCAUCCUGGACCGACACUGACACUGAGGAGCGAAAGCCAGGGGAGCAAACGGG
Molecule: ribosomal RNA, 253 nt
Filed under: uncultured bacterium
Lineage: Bacteria
Description: partial 16S ribosomal RNA
Rfam family: Bacterial small subunit ribosomal RNA
Source: RNAcentral